This 140-nucleotide ribosomal RNA is filed under the name uncultured eukaryote. Its description in RNAcentral is "partial 18S ribosomal RNA". It matches the Rfam family "Eukaryotic small subunit ribosomal RNA", at positions 1299 to 1458 of the family's 1831-position model. The record is from RNAcentral.
UGGUGGAGUGAUUUGUCUGGUUAAUUCCGUUAACGAACGAGACCUUAGCCUGCUAAAUAGUUACGUGUAACUUCGGUUAUGCGGGCAACUUCUUAGAGGGACUUUGUGUGUCUAACGCAAGGAAGCUUGAGGCAAUAACA